AACCCUGAUGCAGCUAUACCGUGUGUGUGAAGAAGGCCUUAGGGUUGUAAAGCACUUUCAAUGGGGAAGAAUUUAAUAUUGCUAAUAUCGAUAUUAAUUGACGUUACCUAUAUAAGAAGCACCGGCUAACUCCGUGCCAGCAGCCGCGGUAAUACGGAGGGUGCAAGCGUUAAUCGGAAUUACUGGGCGUAAAGAGUACGUAGGUGGCUUGUUAAGUCAGAUGUGAAAUCCCUGAGCUUAACUUAGGAACUGCAUUUGAAACUAAUAAACUAGAGUUUCGUAGAGGGGGGUAGAAUUCCAGGUGUAGCGGUGAAAUGCGUAGAGAUCUGGAGGAAUACCAGUGGCGAAGGCGACCCCCUGGACGGAAACUGACACUCAGGUACGAAAGCAUGGGGAGCAAACAGGAUUAGAUACCCUGGUAGUCCAUGCCGUAAACGAUGUCGAUUUGAA
Molecule: ribosomal RNA, 450 nt
Filed under: Blochmannia endosymbiont of Camponotus textor
Lineage: Bacteria; Pseudomonadati; Pseudomonadota; Gammaproteobacteria; Enterobacterales; Enterobacteriaceae
Description: bacterial SSU rRNA
Rfam family: Bacterial small subunit ribosomal RNA
Source: RNAcentral